Molecule: ribosomal RNA, 253 nt
Filed under: uncultured bacterium
Lineage: Bacteria
Description: partial 16S ribosomal RNA
Rfam family: Bacterial small subunit ribosomal RNA
Source: RNAcentral
CACGGGGGGAGCAAGCGUUGUCCGGAUUUACUGGGCGUAAAGAGCGCGCAGGCGGUCGUUCAAGUCGAGUGUGAAAGCCCCCGGCUCAACUGGGGAGGGUCAUUCGAUACUGAUCGACUCGAAGGCAGGAGAGGGAAGUGGAAUUCCCGGUGUAGUGGUGAAAUGCGUAGAUAUCGGGAGGAACACCAGUGGCGAAGGCGACUUCCUGGCCUGUUCUUGACGCUGAGGCGCGAAAGCUAGGGGAGCAAACGGG